UACAGAGGGUGCAAGCGUUGUCCGGAAUCACUGGGCGUAAAGGGCGCGUAGGCGGCCUGAUAAGUCGGGGGUGAAAUUCUGCGGCUUAACCGCAGGACGGCCUUCGAGACUGUCGGGCUUGAGCACGGUAGAGGCAGGUGGAAUUCCCGGUGUAGCGGUGGAAUGCGUAGAGAUCGGGAAGAACACCUAUGGCGAAGGCAGCUCUCUGGGACGGUACUGACGCUGAGACGCGAAAGCGUGGGGAGCGAACAGG
This 253-nucleotide ribosomal RNA is filed under the name uncultured bacterium. RNAcentral describes it as "partial 16S ribosomal RNA". It matches the Rfam family "Bacterial small subunit ribosomal RNA", at positions 524 to 776 of the family's 1533-position model. The record is from RNAcentral.